RNAcentral lists this ribosomal RNA (252 nucleotides) under uncultured bacterium. RNAcentral's name for it is "partial 16S ribosomal RNA". It matches the Rfam family "Bacterial small subunit ribosomal RNA", at positions 524 to 776 of the family's 1533-position model. The record is from RNAcentral.
UACGGAGGAUGCGAGCGUUAUCCGGAUUUAUUGGGUUUAAAGGGUGCGUAGGCGGACUGUCAAGUCAGCGGUAAAAUACGGGGGCUCAACCCCCGCCCGCCGUUGAAACUGACGGUCUUGAGUGGGCGAGAAGUAUGCGGAAUGCGUGGUGUAGCGGUGAAAUGCAUAGAUAUCACGCAGAACUCCGAUUGCGAAGGCAGCAUACCGGCGCCCAACUGACGCUGAAGCACGAAAGCGUGGGUAUCGAACAGG